GGGGAAUCUUGAACAAUGGGGGCAACCCUGAUGCAGCGACGCCGCGUGAGCGAUGAAGCCCUUCGGGGCGUAAAGCUCGUUCGACCGGAACGAUAAUGACGGUACCGGGAGAAGAAGCUGCGGAUAACUACGUGCCAGCAGCCGCGGUAAUACGGAGGCAGAACGCGUUGUUCGGAGUUAAUGGGCGUAAAGAGUGCGUAGGCGGUUUUCUAAGUUCGGUGUGAAAUCUCCCGGCUUAACUGGGAGGGUGCGCCGAAAACUGGGAAGCUGGAGUGGGGGAAAGGCAGGCGGAAUUCCUGGUGUAGCGGUGAAAUGCGUAGAUAUCAGGAGGAACACCGGCGGUGUAGACGGCUUGCUAGAC
This 361-nucleotide ribosomal RNA is filed under the name uncultured bacterium. Its description in RNAcentral is "bacterial SSU rRNA". It matches the Rfam family "Bacterial small subunit ribosomal RNA", at positions 356 to 734 of the family's 1533-position model. The record is from RNAcentral.